GGCUGUCCAUAUUAGUCACCUAUCUCAAACUUCUACCGCUUUCUAUCUAGAAAAGAUCUAUAUCUAGUUGCAAUCAAAUAAUCCAAAAGGCUUAACAACAAAUGUGGACAAAGAAAGAUUGCUCGAAUUCAUCAAUCAAAACAAAUAAGAAGGAAACCUAAGUCAACAACCAGAAGCAUAAUCGAUUCUGGUGAAAGGAACUCUUAACUAUCCAAUCAAGAAAAAGCACAAGCUGAGAAUGAGUUGCCUACUUAUGACAAAGUACUCCUAGUUUAAGUAAGAUCAUAUUUUCAGAUUCUUUAGCAUACUGGUUACAAGUUUAGCAAGGAUGUCAAAUCGAUUUAU
Molecule: unclassified non-coding RNA, 345 nt
Filed under: Hevea brasiliensis (rubber tree)
Lineage: Eukaryota; Viridiplantae; Streptophyta; Magnoliopsida; Malpighiales; Euphorbiaceae
Source: RNAcentral